RNAcentral lists this ribosomal RNA (468 nucleotides) under uncultured bacterium. RNAcentral's name for it is "partial 16S ribosomal RNA". It matches the Rfam family "Bacterial small subunit ribosomal RNA", at positions 28 to 507 of the family's 1533-position model. The record is from RNAcentral.
GACGAACGCUGGCGGCGUGCUUAACACAUGCAAGUCGAACGGAAGGGCGCUGCGUUUGUGGGGUGCUCGAGUGGCGAACGGGUGAGUAAAACGUGAGUAUAAUGUCCUUGUCUUAGGGAUAACUUCAGGGGACUGGGGCGAAUAUCGGGUAGGAUCUCUUGCAGCAUGGUGGGGGUUGGUAAGUGUCGGCGGUUGGGGAUGGACUCGCGGCUUAUGAGCUUGUUGGUGGGGUAGUGGCGUACCACGGCUUUGACGGGUAGGCGGCCUUAGAGGGUGACCGGGCACAUGGGUACUGAGAUACGGACCAGACGCCUACGGGAGGCAGCAGGGGGGAGUAUUGCAGAAUGGGGGGAAGCCUGAUGUAGCAACGUCGCGUGCGGGAUGAUGGCCUUCGGGGUGUAAACCGAUUUCGCCGGUGACGAAGAGUGAUUGACGGUAAUGGGUAAAGAAGCACCGGCUAACUACGUG